Non-coding RNA from Oryza barthii, 196 nucleotides. The record is from Rfam. Lineage: Eukaryota; Viridiplantae; Streptophyta; Magnoliopsida; Poales; Poaceae.
UUUAAGUCAAAGUUUCCGUAUCGAAUUUUGAUCCUCCGUUUUAUUUGAUAUUUUUAUGAUUAAUUUUUUAUUAUUAUUAGAUGAUAGAACAUGAAAAAUACUUUAUGUAUAACUUAUGUUUUUAAUUUUUUCUUAAAAAAGUUUAAAUAAAACAAACAAUCAAAAUUUAACACGGAAACUUAUACUUGUGCUUAAA